Molecule: long non-coding RNA, 599 nt
Organism: Bactrocera oleae (olive fruit fly)
Lineage: Eukaryota; Metazoa; Arthropoda; Insecta; Diptera; Tephritidae
Source: RefSeq, a predicted model, not a curated record
AAGUGUAAUUUAAUUAUUUUCCUUUUUUGUUGUGCUUAUAAGUAUUCUAAGUAAAAGUCAAUUACAAUUCCAUACGAAAAUCGAGUAAGUUUGAUUGCAAUUCAGCGUCAAAUAUGAGCCCGAAGCUUGAGCGCGAAAGUAGAUGACCUCUUUACCUCACAAUUGCCGAAAUUGAGUGACAAACACAUCUGCCGCCUGUAUUGUACGAAUAUAUUAUAUUAUAUAAAGUAGGCAAUUUAAUUUACAGCAACACUUUAGAUGUUUGAAGUGCUUGCUGGUAUUUUAUCCAAUGCUGUCCUACCGGGUAUGUUUUAAGAUAUAUGUCUAACCUCACGGCAUUUCAGCACUUACAAUUUUAACGACAGAUUCUGAGCGCCAAUAAAAUGCUUAGCAUGAGACGAAUAACAAUUGUUGUUACUCGAAUCGAUUUAAAUAUAUUGGUAAUGACAUGAAGCUUAAUUUUGCACGAGUACAGGGGGUUGGAGAAGAAGAGAUUUGGUCAGUAGACAAGCUAGCUGAAUCUACGGGCAAUUGCUCAUUACUUACGUGAAAUUGUUGUUGUGCUGUAGUCAUUAAACGAUGGUCGUUUUGAAUUAUGG